RNAcentral lists this ribosomal RNA (253 nucleotides) under uncultured bacterium. Its description in RNAcentral is "partial 16S ribosomal RNA". It matches the Rfam family "Bacterial small subunit ribosomal RNA", at positions 524 to 776 of the family's 1533-position model. The record is from RNAcentral.
UACGUAGGGUCCGAGCGUUGUCCGGAGUUACUGGGCGUAAAGCGCGCGCAGGUGGUUCAUUAAGCCCGGCGUGAAAGCCCCCGGCUCAACCGGGGAAUGGCGCCCUAAACUGGCGAGCUAGAGUGAGAUAGGGGUGUGUGGAACUUCCGGUGGAGCGGUGAAAUGUGUUGAUAUCGGAAGGAACGCCGGUGGCGAAAGCGACACACUGGAUCUUGUCUGACGCUGAGGCACGAAAGCCAGGGGAGCGAACGGG